This is a long non-coding RNA of Octopus bimaculoides (California two-spot octopus), 524 nucleotides long. RefSeq lists it as uncharacterized. The record is from RefSeq and is a predicted model, not a curated record. Lineage: Eukaryota; Metazoa; Mollusca; Cephalopoda; Octopoda; Octopodidae.
AAAUCCGAGAAUCUGCAUUAUGCCUGGGUGUUGGCCUCAGUUUACUACUCAUCUUACUGCUUUUAUGUCUCCUGAUCUGUUGUGUCAGACGUCGAAGACAAAGACGGAGAGAAUCUUCUUCUGGAACACAACCAGAUUCAAUAGUUUCCUGGAUACCCCAGCAUCAUUUUUUGAAUGAUGACAGUGAACCACACUGUUUCAGAAAUGUUAAAUCAACUUUACACUCAGAUCCUUGGGAGACUGUCAGGUCAAGCAGUAGCGAUGGUCCAGCGUUUUUCACUGAAGGUAUUCCUGCAUUUUUCUCAUCAAGUAUUCGUGGACUCAAUGGAACAAAGCUAAGUGAUUGGAGUCCUGGUGCUUUACAAGUCAACCUCCGUGACGACAUGGCUGUUUGAUUGGUAAAAUUAAUUUGCCUUAGGGCAUUUGAGCUAACUUCCAUGAUGUUUUGGUUGUUGAACAAGGGAUUUUGGUGCUUUCCAAACCAACCCCCUUAAUGUUGAUUUGGCUCUCCGAUUGGUUCUCAC